Neltuma alba is the source of this 152-nucleotide long non-coding RNA. RefSeq lists it as uncharacterized. The record is from RefSeq and is a predicted model, not a curated record. Lineage: Eukaryota; Viridiplantae; Streptophyta; Magnoliopsida; Fabales; Fabaceae. The transcript is spliced from 3 exons.
CAUCCAGCGCCGCACUUGCAGCCGCUUCCACAACCACAGUUUCCACCACAGCAAGACAUUUUCAGAUCACAGAACUCACAACGAUAUCAACGCAACACUGACAAUGCACUGAUCAGAACAAGUUGCUGGGAAUGGGGGAAACUGUGGGUGUG